GGGCCCGCACAAGCAGCGGAGCAUGUGGUUUAAUUCGAAGCAACGCGAAGAACCUUACCUAGACUUGACAUCCCCUGAAUAACCUAGAGAUAGGCGAAGCCCUUCGGGGCAGGGAGACAGGUGGUGCAUGGUUGUCGUCAGCUCGUGUCGUGAGAUGUUAGGUUAAGUCCUGCAACGAGCGCAACCCUUAUCCUUAGUUGCUACCAUUAAGUUGAGCACUCUAAAGAGACUGCCCGGGUUAACCGGGAGGAAGGUGGGGAUGACGUCAAAUCAUCAUGCCCCUUAUGUCUAGGGCCACACACGUGCUACAAUGGUGAGUACAAAAAGAUGCAAUACCGUAAGGUGGAGCAAAACUUAUAAAACUCAUCCCAGUUCGGAUUGUAGGCUGCAACUCGCCUACAUGAAGCCGGAGUUGCUAGUAAUCGCGAAUCAGCAUGUCGCGGUGAAUACGUUCCCGGGCCUU
Molecule: ribosomal RNA, 463 nt
Filed under: uncultured bacterium
Lineage: Bacteria
Description: bacterial SSU rRNA
Rfam family: Bacterial small subunit ribosomal RNA
Source: RNAcentral